RNAcentral lists this long non-coding RNA (15289 nucleotides) under Pelobates cultripes (western spadefoot toad). The record is from RNAcentral. Lineage: Eukaryota; Metazoa; Chordata; Amphibia; Anura; Pelobatidae.
UUUUCACCCAUGAUUCCUUUAGGUUUUUGAUCAAAUGUUUUGCUGGCGCCCAGUCUGGACAGCAGUUACCUCCCAUUACGAUGUAUUUAUCAUUUCCACCCUCUGGUCAUUGUCCUGCAAGCAACCAUUUGGACUUUGUGAAUCCUGAUGUAUAUGUGGAGGCUUAUCAGCACAGAGCAUUUAGGUGGGAAUUGCGCUGUAAUGUAUUUACAUUUCAUGUGUAUAGCAAAACCCAGACAAUAUGAAGUACUGUUCCUGCAAAUUCAUUAUAGUGACAUAUUAUUUCCAUAUGGUAUUUGGUAUCAUUAGCCUAGCUUCAUAAAAGUAUUCCUGCACUCCAGAUAUUCCACAGAGCUGUACAAAGGAUAUGUAAGCAUACAAGUAAGGAAUGCAAUUCCUAGGGAGUUUAAGGUUUUAAUUCUUAUUUAUUUUAAAGUUUAUUCGCUGAACACUAAAUUGCGAUCAACUGAACAAUGAAUUGCAAUAUUUUGGUUAAAAUAGCCCAGCUGUAACUAUUUUGGAGUUGGAGAUUUUUUCCAAAUCAACUGUUUGGUGUUCACUUUACAACCAAAUAGUUUUUAGAAAAUAAAUAUUUUAUAAGGUUGUUUACUAAAAUAGAAAUUGUGGUAAAUUCAAAGUUAAUUUAAAAUUUAAGGCCAAUAUAGCUGAACUGAAAAGAUCCUCUAUGUCAGCCAUGCUUCCAGUUUGGCUAUUUUGAUUUAAACCCCUUAAGGACCGGCCUGUUUUUGCGAUGUUGUACAUUUGCGACCAGGCAUCUUUUUACACUUUUGUGGUGUUUGUGUUUAGCUGUAAUUUUCCGCGCUCUCAUUUACUGUUCCCAUACAAAUUAUAUAUUGUUUUUUUCAGGACAGAAAGGGCUUUCUUUACAUACCAUUAUUUAUAUAAUCUCAUGAAAAAAAAUACAUGUUUUUUGACUUUUACUUGAAAAAUCUUUUACUCAUCUACAAAAGCAAAUCAAAAAAACUGCUAAAUAGAUUCAAAAUUGUGUCCUAAGUUUAAAAAUAUCCAGUGUUUACAUGCUUUUUUGCUGUUUUGUUUGCAUGUUAUAGGGCUAUAGGUAAAAGUAGGAUAUUGCGGUUUCAAAACAUACAUUUUUAAAAUUUAUCAUAAGUGACAUUGUAACACUAUUAUCGGUCAUAAAUCUCUGAAUAACACCCCACAUGUACAUAUUUUUUUUUUUUUAAAGUAGACCACCCAGGGUAUUCAAAAUGGGGUAUGUCCAGACUGUUUUAGUAGCCACUUAGUCGCAAACACUGGCCAAAUUUAGCGUUCAUAUUUGUUUGUGUGUGAAAAAAGUUAAAAAAACUAAAUUGAACGCUAAUUUUGGCCAGUGUUUGUGACCAAGUGGUUACUAAAAAAGACUGGACAUACCCCAUUUGCAAUACCUUGGGUUGUCUUCUUUUGCAAAUGGUAUGCCAUCAUGGGGGUAAUUCUCAUUCCUGGGCUACCAUACGCUCUCAAAGGCAACGUAACCAACCUGACCAUUUUCAAUGUAAAAAUAUUUGACCCAUAUAUUUGGCCCUGUAACUAAGAGGGGACUGCGAAACUUAGCAAAGGAGUCCCCCAUGAGUCUGUCAUGGCUUACCUCCAAAACUCAAACCUACCCCCAUAUGUCCCCAUUAUCAGACACACAUUAAAACACAAAAUCUGUAACCUCAUGUUUUCAGCCCUGAUCAAUUGCUGUCACAUAUAUAAUAUCUCCGAGAACUUUAAAAUCUGUUAUAAGAUAUAGGACAUCAUUUGCUACAAAUACUUGGGAAAUUAACAUUUAUUUAAAUGCAUUUUCUAGACUCAUUGCAGCAGCUGCACAUAAAUUGCAAAGCUUGGUCCAGUCUGGCAGUGAACAGUAUCUGGCAUGGAAUAACACAUCGGUGGAGCUGGUGACGGCCUCUAUAGUAAGUAUACAUUAGCUUCAUGAAGUUUUGGUGUAUAGAUCAUGUCCCUGCAGUCUCACUGCUCAAUUCACUGCCAUUGAGCAGUUAAAUCACUUUGUUUAUAUAGCCCUAGGAACACCUCCCUGCAUGUUACUUAAUAAACACUUCCUGUAAAGAAUCAUCUAAUGUUUAUACUUCCUUUAUUGCAAAUACUGUUUAAUUUAGAAUAUCUGAUAUGUUGCUCUGUAACUAGCUUGCUAGACCCUGGACCAUCUUGCGUGUUAUUAAAUUUCAAUAUACAGAGAAGGAGAUCCAAACCUAUAAAGUAAGUUACAUCUGAUUGAAAGUGAAACCAUUUUUUUUAAUGCAUGAUGUGUCAGUCAUAGCCAGAGGAGUUGUGGGUAGGGCUGCAUUAACAGAAACAAAAAUGUAACUCCUAAAUGGCAGAUAAUUGAGCAAUGAAACUUCAGAGGCAUGAUCUUUACAAUAAAACUGCUUCAUUAAGCUAAAAUUGUUUUCGUGACUAUAGUGUCCCUUUAAGAUUCAGAUCUGGCAUGUUAAACUUGCCAUUUACUUUGUAUUUGUCCCUAUGCCCUCGUUAUACCGGUAGGACUUUAUAACCUCAGCACAAGGCACCUUUGUGACAGGUUACAUGGGUCUUAAUGCAGCACUGUCACUUUGUGGGGUUUUUUUUCUACAUAUAAGAGAAACUACUUUGUUCUUAGUUUUUAAUUUAUCUUUUGCAAUAUUUGGCAAGAUACAGUUACAAUUGUUAAUGUAAUUUAUCCAAAAACCAUCAGUCAAAAGAAGGGAAAACUGCAGAUAUCAUUGGCACAGGAAAACAAAAUGGUGGUGCCCAGAUAAUGAAAUCCAUUGCAAGAAAAAAAAAGAUAAAUAUAAAUAAAGGCUGGGAGUAUAAUUAAUAAUAUGCAAUGGGAUAAAAUGAGAAAAGCUUGGCUGCUUUAACUAGCCAGCCACCACAAAUCCAUUUGAAUGCACUCUUAUCCUCCAAGACAAAUUAGACAUGAAACUUUUUGACUGCAGUUGCUCUCCAUAAUAGGAGAUAAAACUAUGCUAUGGCAGCUGGUGAAGCAUGAAGGGAAGAGGGUGCUUAAUUUAAUAAGUUACAGCAGGUGUAUCUGGUCUGUCUAUGUAAAGAAAGUGAGACAGCUGGUGUCCCUUGCCUAGCCCUGGGAUAUGUUUGGCUAAUUACUUCAGGUAUCUGGACUAAUUCACGGGAAGGAGAGCUGGGGUCUGUGUUAGGAGUUGCAGGCUAGCAAGAUUGUGUAUUGCAGAGUACAGAAUAUUUGAUAGAGUCCUAACCUCAACAUAUGAGGAAAGGGAUUUAGGGGUGAUUAUUUCUGAUGACUUAAAGGUAGGCAGACAAUGUAAUAGAGCAGCAGGAAAUGCUAGCAGAAUGCUUGGUUGUAUAGGGAGAGGUAUUAACAGUAGAAAGAGGGAAGUGCUCAUGCUAUUGUACAGAACACUGGUGAGACCUCACUUGGAGUAUUGUACACAGUACUGGAGACCGUAUCUUCAGAAGGAUAUUGAUACCUUAGAGAGGGUUCAGAGAAGGGCUACUAAACUGGUUCAUGGAUUUUGGGAUAAAACUUACCAGGAAAGGUUAAAGGAUCUUAACAUGUAUAGCUUGGAGGAAAGACGAGACAGGGGGGAUAUGAUAGAAUCAUUUAAAUAUAUAAAGGGAAUCAACACAGUAAAGGAGGAGACUAUAUUUAAAAGAAGAAAAACUACCACAACAAGAGGACAUAGUCUUAAAUUAGAAGGACAAAGGUUUAAAAAUAAUAUCAGGAAGUAUUACUUUACUGAGAGGGUAGUGGAUGCAUGGAAUAGCCUUCCAGAUGAAGUGGUAGAGGUUAACAGUAAAGGAGUUUAAGCAUGCGUGGGAUAGGCAUAAGGCUAUCCUAACUAUAAGAUAAGACUAGGGACUAAUGAAAGUAUUUAGAAAAUUGGGCAGACUAGAUGGGCCGAAUGGUUCUUAUCUGCCGUCACAUUCUAUGUUUCUAUGGGACAGCUCCAAUCACCAGAGUUUCCUGGGUUGACACCAAUCAGUGUCACCAUUCGCAGAAUACAAUGGCUGGCAGAGAUAAAGGCAGAUUUUUAAAAUCAAAUUAUUCUGAAUUAAAAAAAAAAAGGAAAGUAAUAAAAAAAACCUUUGCGAAGUUGUACAAGCAUGUCAAAGAACAUUGAAAUAAGCCUAUUGAUCCCAAUGGUUUCUAUGGCCAAUACUCCGCUUUCAGAAAAUCACACCACAUCACAGGACUAAGAUCCCAGCACUAAAUGUACCCCCUAAAACACAAUGUAAGAGGCAAUAGUUUAACUGGCUAGUAUCUAAUGUUCUUUAUUAAAAAUUUUUGGGUGAAUAAGCUAAAUAAAUUAACGGUGCACAUCAUAUAGACAAUGUAUCUAGCUAUGAACAUUAUUUAUAAAACAUUGGGUAAUUUUUUUUAUUUAAAAAAAAAAAGGGGGGGUUAUGUAUGGAAUAUGUCACGUUUUGUCUCAGUAUUAUCUGGCCUGGUUACAAAGAGAUCAGAAACAUCUAUAUAUAAAUGUAUAACAUUGUACAUAAACAGCCAGAUUUGGAACAUGCUAAUUGCCCCUCACAAAAUACUGAGAUUUCUGGAACCGCCCCCAUUCCUCCUCGGAUUAGAAACUAAGAUGAUCAUAAAAAGUGUAUAUAAUCCGAGAAAACCUAAAAAACUGUGGAAUACAGUUUGAGAGCCAAAUCGAAUUUGUAGCGGAUUUACAUUUUCUUUACCAGAAGCUAUCUUGGAACUGGUAAUAUUAGGAAGUACUGGUACUUCACUUGUGUUAAUUUUCUCCCUUUUAAUAUGUCUGUUCAAAUUUGUUUGUAAAAUAUUUUGUAUGCACUAUUUUUUUUUCAUAAUAAAUGUUCCUUUUUAACUUCUGCCUUGUUCUGGGAGAAGAAUCACAUUACUGCAGAGACCUAGGUAAUAGUACUGUAAUGCAGUUUUCAUCUAUGUACACCAAAACAAAACAAGUAAAAAGGAGCUUGACCAAUGUCUAAAAAAUGUAUGAAAAGAUAAAUAUUAGACUCUGAAUGUCGGUGUUAGCUGGAAGAUAACACAAGAUGAGGUAAUGUAUGCUCUUUGAUAGAACGCUGCACACCACUUAUAUUAAUGGUCAGAUAACAAAUCCAAAGCCAAUUGGCUAAACCUCUACCUACUCAGAAAAAUGGAUGAUAUAUACAGAAAUAGAUGAAGGAUAUAAAUUCCUCCAAUUGUCCUAAUCUCUGACUUUUUUGGGUGAUGUCUAUAUCAGGAGUUGGAUUUUCUUAUAUCGCACUGAGUAGUUGUCUAGGAUACAUGGAGCAGAUGGCCGAUGUAAUUGAUUCUACAAAAUCGAAAUAUAGAGCUAGUAGAAGGUUGUUUGUGAUUACAAAUUGUUGCAAUCUCUCCUCCUAAUUUUGGUUAAUGCAAUUCAAUAUAGGAAACACUGUUUGAGAGAAGAAACUGGGCCAGAUGGCUGUCAGUCUUAGGCUUCUAUAUUAUCACAGUGUGGAAAUAUGUUGCAGAACGGAGAGAGUGGAUGCAUUUUAGGUAGCCAUGACCCAGGAUGUUUGAAUGCAUUGGAUGCAUUUUAGGCAGCCAUGACCCAGGAAGGAUCUCUAACAGCCAUCUGAGGAGUGGCCAGUGAAGUUAUCACUAGGCUGUAAUGUGUAAACACUGCAUUUUCUCUGAAAAUACAGUGUUUACAGCAAAAAGCCUGAAGGUAAUGUCGUGCGGUAACACUUCCAGGUUCCGCACUCCGCUGUGCGGAACUGGACCCCGCCCCCCUCUGACUCAGCUCUGACGGUAUUUAGGGAGACCACGCCAGAGAGAGCGGGCUUGGUGAUACUGGGAGCUACUUCCGCCAGACUUACCUCUCCACAGGCUCUGGCAAUGUGGGUCCUAUUUCCGAGUAUGCACGCCGGCUCCUGGGACACGCCGGCUCUACAAACUCUGAUGUCGUCCUAGCCUUCUGGACUAAGACAAGUAUACUUCGUGCCAUAGAGGAUUACUGGAGAACAGAAACUCACUUCCUUACAAGUGGACCAUAUCGCUGAACUAUUGGAGGACUACUCACAUUAACCUUAAGUAUAUCUUUCAGCUAUUUGUCUACAUUAUCAUUUAAUAAUGAACUAAUGCUUGCUUACUAAAUCUUCACUGCUUCAAGCUACUAAUUAUAUGGAGGACAACUCCCAUCAUGCUUAUUCACAAUGAACUGUUUCUUGCUUUGCAAAUACACUCAGUGCUUCAAGCUACUAAUUGUAUGGAGGACAACUCCCAUCAUGCUUAUUAACUAUGAACUGUUCCUGCUUUGCAAAUAGUCUCAACUACUUGCUUAAAGUUACUAUUGAAGAUUAUUCUCAUUAACCUAAAGAAUGUUACUUAAUGCAUCUCUGAGGAAAUACUUAUUAAUGAACUGUGUUGUUGAUUACUUGCACUUCCUCUUAUUGGAUUAUUGCCUAAAUGCAAUUCAUUUAAGUUUAACACUUAUUAAAACUUCGGUUGAAUCAAGUUACCAGUGAUUCUCUCUUUUCUUAAAGCUACAGUAUUGAUACUUUAAAGAUUCUCCGUUUCUUCACUAUUGUAAUUAGGGAGUUUUACAAGCUGCAGUUGAGUUCCAAUCCAAAUCACCCAAGUAGCGUAACAAUGAUUCUACUCACCAGAACAAAUCCAAUAAGCUGUAGUUGUUCUAGUGACUAUAGUGUCCCUUUAAAGCAACUGUUACUAAUUAGUAUCUUCUUUAUACUCUGUCCGUUCUGCAACAUAUUUCUACACUGUGAUAAUAUAGAAGCUUUAGCCUGACAGCCAUCUGGCCCAGUUUCUUCUCUCAAACAGUGUUUCCUAUAUUGAAUUGCAUUAACCAAAAUUAGGAGGAGAGAUUGCAACAAUUUGUAAUCACAAACAACCUUCUACUAGCUCUAUAUUUCGAUUUUGUAGAAUCAAUUACAUCGGCCAUCUGCUCCAUGUAUCCUAGACAACUACUCAGUGCGAUAUAAGAAAAUCCAACUCCUGAUAUAGACAUUACCCAAUAAAGUCAGAGAUAAUGACAAUUGGAGGAAUUUAUAUCCUUAAUCUAUUGCUAUAUAUCAUCCAUUUUUCUGAGUAGGUAGAGGUUUAGCCAAUUGGCUUUGGAUUUGUUAUCUGACCAUUAAUAUAGGUGGUGUGCAGCGUUCUAUCAGAGAGCAUACAUUACCUCCUCUUGUGUUAAGCAUUUGCUUGGGGCCCCCUGGACCCUGUCCCCCUUCUCAGGCAUGCAAUCACGUCCUCCACCUCAACGCAGUGGCAGGCCUAAAGUAGAGAGGUGCAAGAAUCUUUGGGGGUCUCCCUGUUGCACGGGUGAUUAAAAGGUAGAUCCCCAUCUGUCGUGCAACUCCAGAAAUGCAUUGACAGCUGGGGCUCUACCAUUUACCCAUGUUUGCAGGUCUGUAUUUAGCACUAAGCAGUUUUUGUGUGUUUGAAUGUAAACAGGUUUUUGUAUAGAAUAUGUUUGCAUGUGGUGUUGGCGUGAUUGCAAGCAUGUAUUUGUGUAGUGUUGGUUUUUGAAUGCAGGGGUGUAUUUACACAUAAUUUUGGUGUGUAACACAGACAUGUGUUUGUACGUAGUGUUGAAAUUUGAAUGCAGGGGUGUAUUUGUGUGUAGUGUUAGUGUGUGAAUGCUGAGAUGUAUGCACAUAUACACACACACACAAAUAUAUACACACUGAAAUGCGCGCAGAUACACACAGACAUACUGACACACAUACACAGACAUGCUGACCUACAAACAUACUGACACAUACACAGAAAUACUGACACACAGACAUGCUGACACACACACAGAUAUACUGACACACAAAGACAUACUGACACACACAGAUGACACACAGACAUACUGACACAGACAUACACUUUAAAACCCACCCUCCAGUUUCCUACCUUUCCUGAUUAUGGCUGAAGGUGUUGGGAGUUGGGGUCUAGUGCUCUCGGCCAGCCCCUUCCAAUCUGCCUACUCUUCUUUCCUGCGCGCUCCUCUCUUUGUGGGAGUAAGUGAUGCGCGGCUGUCACUUCCUCCCAGCCUGCUGCCGUAAAAAAGCAAGUGGCCCGCUCGUGCUGUUAAAGCGCCUCAGCGUGCGACCGAGCCCCUGCUGACAGAACCCCACCGGGUGGUCCUUUGUGCAUGGGCCACCCGGUGGGCCUCCUUAGUGUGCGGAUUACCGGUGCAGCUGGCCAGUUUGCCCCGCGUUAAAGACGGCCCUGCGUAUACGAGCUAUUAUAUUGUAUAUGUUAAUGAGUAGUUUAUGGUAUUGUGUAUGAUACAUAUGAAUGUGGGCUGUGUAUGGGGGCUGCUUGUGGAAUUGUGUGUGUGGAUGGAUAUGUCACAGUGUGUGUUUGGUAGUGUGUGGGUACUCUUUGGGGUAUUGCAUGUGGGGUUGUGUGCAUGUAUGUGGAUUGUUAGUGGUGUUUCGUUUGUGAGGAUUGUGUGCAUGUUUGUGUGUGGGCUGUCCGUAUUAUUUGUAUGAGGGGAGGGUUAUUCUGCAUUUCUGUGUAUAUCUAGCAGUGUGGGUAGCUUCCAAUGGGGACUAGGCCGACCAGGUACAUGUCAAGGAUAGGAGCUGCAACAGCAACUGCGAGAUGCUCUACUACAGUGUAGAUUCCUAUUCACAAGUGCUGGGAGGAAGUGAUCUGAGAUCACUACCUCUACGUGCUGCAAUGCAUAAAUUGAGGAUUGUCCUUCACCAACUUUUCGGAUUAGCAGAUAUCUGAAGUUUUACUGGGACUCCUGAUAGGCAAGAUCCUGUUUGGCUCUAGCAGCCUUGAGUGCCGUGCAAAGACACCAUGAGUGCCGUGCAUGGCAUUAGUGCCGUAGGUUGCCUACCCCUGCCCUAGACACUACUGGAGUGUUUUUCUGGUUUAGCAGCUUCAGAUUAGGCAAACAGGAUAAACAGACCUCCCUGCCCUGUAAACUGUUCCAUUAUAUACGAUAAAUAUUACAAAUCAAAAAGCAGGUCCUUUUAAAGUGCAAUUGCUCUCAAGACACAUAUAAUAAACCAUAAAUAAAAAAGUGCAAAAUAUUGCUCAAGUGCUCUGUGAUAUAUUGCUUCUCAAACAAUAUUAUGUGCAAAAACAGCAAUCCCGUGCUAAUGUAUGAAAAUGUAAGUAAAAAGCUCUAGUGCCUAUAGUAAUAGAAAAAGCACUUACACUGAAUAAUUCACUUAUUGAAAACACACAAUAAGGAUGUCUCCUCCAAUAUUCACAGAAUCAUAAACUGUAAACAAGAAAAAAAGAGAAUAUAUGGUGUAAUACAGUAUGCAUAAAAUAUGUAAAAAGGCUAAUAUUGAAAACCCACUCACAAGUGGAGAGCAUAGAAGCCUGCUCUGUCAGCGCGUAUAUAUACACACACUCCAAUCCAAUCCAAUAAAUAGCAGCAGCAAGGAAAAGAAUGUGGCAGCAAGUGACUUCUUUAUUUCUGAAAAUAUUCUUAAAAUAACUCUAUGCCCAUCACCUCCCGACUGGACCUCCUUCCCUGUGUUCAGAUACAGUCCUCCCUCCUGUUCGCUGACGGUUAAGCAAAGACACGGGCUGUGAAUGUCCCAAACACUUCCUGGUGGGCAGAGCUAUGUCUGUGACACUGUGCGUGAUGACGCGUUUCGCCUGGAAUUGGCUUCCACAGAUCACUCCCAAAGUCCUAUUAUAACCAAUCAUUGGUUCCUACUCAAAACUUCAUGCAAAUGAGUCCUUAAAGGGACACUAUAGGCACCCAGACCACUUCAGCUCAAUGAAGUGGUCUGGGUGCCAGGUCCCUCAGGUUUUAACCCUUAAUCCAGCCUCUAGUGGCUGUCUUCCGGACAGCCACUAGAGGAGCAUCUGCGACGCUGGAGGCGAAUUUCGCCUCCAUCGCGCCGAGCGUCCAUAGGAAAGCAUUGAGACAUUGGACAAGGGAGCUGACGUCGGACAGGGAGGAGAGGUCACCAGCGCUGAGGGAGCCGGUGCUGGAUUAAGUAACUGAAGGGGUUUUAACCUUUAGCACCACGGGAGGGGGAACCUGAGGGUCGAGGCACCCUCAGGGCACUAUAGUGUCAGGAAAACCGCUUUGUUUUCCUGACACUAUAGUGACCCUUUAAUGAGAGUUCAUCCCAAAUCAAAGUGGUAAAUCUACUAAACAUUGUACAAUGUUUAGUAGAAGUAAAGGUGUUUUCAUCUCUACAUUUGCUAAAUGGUGUUUUGUGGGUUUUUAAUUUAAAUUGGUUGGGGUAACCGAAGACCCACAUGUCCUUGCGGUGGCAACCUUUGUAAAAGAAAUGGCAUGGGUGUUGUUAAUAGGGAUUUUUGAAAUCAUUAUAUUGGUUCUGCUACAGACAAAUAGUGAUUUUUAUUUUAAUCAUUUCCCCUACUGAACUAAACCAUGUGUCCACUUAAAGAAGUGUUGGAAUAUAAAUUAAUGCACGUAUAUCUUCGAAGAUUAAAGGGACACUGUGGGCAAUGUAAUUACCUCAUUUUAUUGAAGAGUUCAUACUCUGGAUUGCCCUGGCAUCAUCCUUCCAUUGAGUAUGAAGGACAUGUGUAAACUCUGCCUGAUCCAUGCCUCCAGUACUGGCCUGGCUGUAGAGGCCAGGGACUCUUAUUUAAUGUUAAUCUGCUUGAUACUGAUCUAAAGCUGAAUUGUCAGUGCCAGGGAACUCCAAGCAUUAUAACCAAGUCAAUGACAUGAAAUAGUUCUAGUGCCAAUAGUGUUUAAGCCAUGUUUUAAAUAUUAUAAACAACAGACAAAAAAACUAAGUGAUAUAAAAAGUUCAAAACAUAAUUAAGUAUAAUGCCCUGCUCAGGAAAAGAUCUAAUAGGAGCCAAGCAAAAACUAAUAGAAUCAGAAAAUAUAUGGCAAUGGCUGCUACAUUAACUCUCAAUGACCAGUGGGCACCAGGAAGGGGGGAGCAAAAAACAAGCAAAAAAACUAAACUAAACCACAAGAGAGGCAUCAGAGCAUAAACAUAAUGUAAAUGUAAGAAAAUAUAAAAAGAAUAGAUAACAAUAGAGUGGGCAGCAAAUAGUAAAAUGCAAUAGCCCUAAUAACACAUUAACUAUUCUAACAUUGUGUCAUUCUGAUUGGACAAUACUGCACUGUUUUCCAGGCUCAUACACACUACAAGACUGUGAAAAUUUUUGUUGAUGCACUGAAUUCGGUUACACGAGAACCAGAAAUCCAGAAGGCAUUAAAGAGUCUCUGUGACUUGUACGCACUGCAUGGAAUAUUUACCAAUGCUGGAGAUUUCCUACAGGAUGGAUAUUUGUCUGGAAAACAACUGGAUAUGGUGACAACAGCCUACCUUAACCUCUUGCCUGUGAUCCGGUGAGAUUCCAAAAUGUAAAAGUAUUGAAAUAAAUGAAUUCCUCACUACUGCCACAUCUCAUGCAAUCCUGUUUUACAGGAAGGACGCAGUUCUUUUAGUAGAUGCUUUUGACUACACGGAUGCAGAGCUAUUAUCAGCGAUUGGCAGUUAUGAUGGAAAUGUCUAUCACAACCUUCUAGAAUGUGUUCAGAAAAAUCCAGAUAACAAGAAGGUAAAUUCUAUAUUGGAAUUUUAUUUUGCACAAUAAAAAACAUACAGUGAGGGGAAAAAAGUAUUUGAUCCCCUGCUGAUUUUGAACGUUUGCCCACUGACAAAGAAAUGAUCCUGCAAAAACCCUGCAAUGGUAGACUAUACUCACCAGAACAACUACAUUAAGCUGUAGUUGUUCUGGUAACUAUAGUGUCCCUUUAUGUUUCAUGUUUGUGCGUGCAAAGGGGUAGGGACUGUAGAGGGUGCCGAGAGGAAGGGGUUGCAGAGGGUACAGUGGGAAGGGACUGUAAAGGGUACAGGGGGGCAAUAGUGGGUGCAGAGGAGGGACAGGCUGUAGUGGGUGCAAAGGGUAAUAGGUGCUGUUGUCUUUGCAGGGGGAAAUAGGAGCUGUAGUAAGUGCAUAGGGUAUAGGGGCUGUAGUGGGUGCAUAGGGUAUAGGGGAUGUAGUGGGUGCCUGGGGCUAUAGUGGGCGUAGGGGCUGCACUUGGAGCAGGGGGGUUAGGGGCUCCACUUGGAGCAGGGGUGGGGGGUAGGGGCUCCACUUGGAGCAGAGGAGUAAGGGCUCCACUUGGAGCAGGGGUAGGAUCCGGGCAGGGGUAAGGGGCUCCACUUGGAGCAGGGAGUAGGGAUCGGUUGGAGCAGGGGGUAAGGGGGCUGCAGAGGGAGAAUGUGGGCAUGGGGUGCAGUGAGAGCAGGAGGGUAGGUACUCUGAUGAGGCAGUAGAGGGGCAAAUUAUAUGAUAAAACAUUUUUAAUUAAAAAAAAUAUUAAUAUGACUUAAAAAAAUAAAGCCUUACCUCUCUGGUGGUCCUCUUCUGAAGGAACCUCACUGAUCCAGGGCACUCAAUGCUGACGUGCUGCCUGUAACUCUGCUCAGGGCAGCUCCGCACAGCUCUCUCUGACUGCUGAUGUCACUUCCUGCAAAACAAGCCGCAUGGAGCUGCCCUGAGCAGUUACAGGCAGCUCAGUGAGGCUGUGUUUGGAGACAGGCACACUGAGGGGCAGCCUAGUGGGGUCUUUGGAAGGCGCUUUAGCUGUCUUUCAGUGUGCCCUGCAAGGGCGAUUAUAUUUUAGCAGCAGGGGCCCCGCGGAAGGCUGUGCGGGCCCUUUACUAAGUGCAGGCUGGCUGGGGAGAUUGUUUAACUCCCCAGCUCAGCCAUUACUGCACUGCAGCAGUGGCCGGGCCCCCAGAGCCUCGGGCCCUCGGUCCAUGACCGAUUUGCCUGAGUGCUCAGUCUGCACCUGCACCAACUGUUGUCCCCUUCUCACCAAGCUGCUUGGCGAUGGUCUUGUAGCCCAUUCCAGCCUUGUGUAGGUUAACAAUCUUGUCCCUGACAUCCUUGGACAGCUCUUUGGUCUUGGCCAUGGUGGAGAGUUUGGAAUCUGAUUGAUUGAUUGAUUGAUUGCUUUAAGAAAGUGCUCCUAAUCUCAGCUUGUUACCUGUAUAAAAGACACCUGGGAGACAGAAAUCUUGCUGAUUGAUAGGGGAUCAUAUACUUAUUUCACUCAUUGACAUGCAAAUCAAUUUAAAACCUUUUGACAUGUUUUUCGGGAUUUUUUUUUUUGUUAUUCUGACUCUCACUGUUAAAAUACACCUACCAUUAAAAUUCUAGACUGAUCAUUUCUUUGUCAGUGUGCAAACAGCAGGGGAUCAAAUACUUUUUCCCCUCACUGUAUGCAAUUUUACGUAAAAAACAAACAAAACCAAAAAACAACAAACAUUCAUGGACCUUACAUACAACUUUCUGUAAGCAUGAUAUGGGGGUUGACAGUAAUUUAGAAAAUCCCACCUAUCAAUAUGCCAAGUGGUGAAUUAGCAUCAAACAGAAGGGCAACAAAGUCAAAAUUCUGCACAUUAGAUGCUGCUGACAGACUGCUAUUAAUGGACCAAAUAGAAAAAAAACAAUUCUACUUUUUCUACUUUCACAACUAGAGAUUCUGUGGUGGGAUAAAAUGUGGUUACCUCGCAGAAUUUGCUGACAUUGAUUUAUUCAGAGAACAAAUACAUGAAACAUAUUGUCUCUCUAUUGGGGUGAAAAGGGAUAUGAAGAAAAAGGGUUUAUAGAUAGCUUGAUAACUAAUAGACAGGUGUUUUUGUUUGUUUUGUGGAAUGUUGAAGUUAUUAGUUUUAGAGAAAAAAGGGUAAAUGAGAUCAGGAAGUGAUAUAGAUAUAUAUAAACUGAACAAUUGGAAACCAAAGCUGCAUAGUGACUUGACUGCUUUUAUUCAACAAUUUGGAAUUUAUUAGUACAUAAAUAGUAGCUCGAUGUGCUGCUAUAAAGUGCAAGAAAAGGAAAAAAUAUGUUCCAUAACAUUUAUACAAAUAACUAUUUUGUAUUAUUUAGACACUACUGAUUAUGUAAAGGAACACUCCAAGUACCAUGACCAUCACAGCUUGUUGUAGUGGUUAUGGUGCGAGGAGUGUCCUGCAUCCUCCAAGGGUAACUUGUCGUUUCAGAUACGUCUGACAACUUACCAGGGUUCCGCUGAGCACCAGCAGCAGCAGUCUGUUUCAUCAGAAUCAAGUGUGCACCAUUAAACAGGGCUAUGAUUAUUGACUGAGAGAAUCAGCAGAGUGCUUUCAGCCAAUGAGACUGGCCUUGGGUUGGCCAGGCUUUGCUCAUUGUGGACAUCCAGCUUCUCCAACAAGAGAAGCUGGGUCUACAGUGUAGGUGCCUGGGGACCCAGAUAAGUUGUCAAACCAUUUUUACUUUCUCAGAGCAAAUUAGCACCAUAACCACUACAGCAUGAUGCUUGAAAAAUUCCCUUAAGCUAAAAAUGUAUAUAACUGUCAGUAUGAUGACACUUUAUAUCUAUAAACCAGUGUAUUAUAUGUGAUCUCUCACACUUUGAUGAACAACUAUUAUUCUUACAAAUAGUUUGUAACAAUUUAGGUUUCAGCCUAAUACUAAAUAAAGUUUGGUCUGGUUGGUGAAGGAAUACAUUAAUUGUGUUUGUUCUCAGCAAAGAGGUAUUGCCAGAUAAUCAGUAAAAAGAUGGGUACAUUCUGACCCACCUAUGUUUAACUCAUAGGAGUCAACGAUGAACAUUUUUAAUCAUACUUUUUUGUUUCUUUAGGUUAAUCCUAUGUUUGAGAGUCACCUGAAGCCUUACUUUCAAAGUGCCAAAGCAAAGCUGUAAAAAACAAGCAGUUUAUGAAGCAGUUAAUUCUGCAAAUGAACAUAUUGUACAUGGUAUUGUAAUGUAUCUUGCAGGAUGUUUAUGUACAUUAAAGAAAUAUAAUUUCGAUUUCAUUUUAGCCAACUAAAUCACAUGUCAAUCUUACAUUAUUCUUUGUACGUGAAACACAAUCCUUUAUUUACAAGAAACGACUUCAAAAGAAAAGUAACAUUUGGAGCCUCCAUUCACAGGGAUUUAAAUACAUUUGGAAAAAAAUAAAAUAAAAAUAAGCAAAUAAAAGUGGGUCUAUUAAAUGAAAAAAAAAAAAUACAAAGAAAGUAAAGCAAUAUAUUUGCAUAUUUAAAAUUACACAAAACCAAACUCUUUAGUAACAAACAUUGAAUUCUGCAUUUAUUAAAUUUAAAAUAAAACUUCAAUAAGACUGGAUUUUGAAUACUGUAGUUUUUUAGUUUAUUGAAUUCUAUUGUUUGACUUGAUAAAGGCCUGGUAGGGUCAAAACGUUGCUGCUUUUACAACAAUAAAGCUGCUAUUUGUGUUAUCCCGGAGUGCCUGAACUGUUAUUUAUUCUGCAUAUUUUCGAAUUAGGCGUGACCAGCCCUAGCUUUAGAGCAUCUGGGUUAUUUGGUAAGUGCGUUAUCCAGUAUGGCUCUACUAUUAAUAUACAAGGGGCAUAAAGAAAUGAAAAAUCAAAG